Molecule: ribosomal RNA, 253 nt
Filed under: uncultured bacterium
Lineage: Bacteria
Description: partial 16S ribosomal RNA
Rfam family: Bacterial small subunit ribosomal RNA
Source: RNAcentral
UACAGAGACUGCAAGCGUUAUUCGGAUUCACUGGGCGUAAAGGGUGCGCAGGCGGCCGUGUGUGUCAGGUGUGAAAGCCCGGGGCCCAACCCCGGAAUUGCAUCUGAAACUGCCUGGCUAGAGUCCCGGAGAGGAAGGCAGAAUUCCCGGUGUAGGGGUGAAAUCCGUAGAUAUCGGGAGGAAUACCAGCGGCGAAGGCGGCCUUCUGGACGGUGACUGACGCUGAGACGCGAAAGCGUGGGGAGCAAACAGG